Salmo salar (Atlantic salmon) is the source of this 1789-nucleotide non-coding RNA. The record is from RefSeq and is a predicted model, not a curated record. Lineage: Eukaryota; Metazoa; Chordata; Actinopteri; Salmoniformes; Salmonidae.
GAAAGAAAGAAAGAAAGAAAGAAAGAAAGAAAGAAAUUAAAUAAUGUACUGUAGAGAAACUCAAAGUGGAAUGAAGGACUUUUAUGUUGCAAGGCUUUCAGAGCAGAUUUUCAGUGAUGUCAUUUUUACACAAUUCCCUUGAAUAGGCUAGCACCUGUGUGCAUGGGGGUUGUCUGUCUGUCAGCUUUGAGUAAAAAACAUAACCCAUGCCAGCAAAAACAUAUCCAUCAGUAUUCCCGACUGCCCAUUGAGACAGUCUGUGUCCUUACUCCUUGGAGACCAAAGCAUACAGCACUCUUCUUAAAGACAAGGCGUUUGGAAGUGUAGAUAUUGGAUUGGCACCCACUUUUUACAGCCCAAAACCAUCUUGAAGUGUGGCUUCCAUGUAGUGCUUUCUUAUUUUCCUCUCUUUUCUCAAAUUUUUGUCCAAUUCUUAAGUGCUUUUCAGGUUCCCAUAAUAGGCCACCGUUUCUUUCUGUCAGGGUUCGCCGUUUUCCACGCGCAGAUCAAGCCCAUCUGGAUGACCCUUCUAGGUGCCUAAAUUGAAACAUGGAGGCAACGUUGCAGAACUGACAAGACAUCUGGCCGUAUCAAAAUGAGCAGAGACCCGUUCAUCCUUUUCCAUUGACUUUCCAAAGCAAUGAGGGUAUGGAAGGGACUGCAGAGAUUUUUGAGAGUGAUGUUUUCCAUCUUCCCGUGCUGCCAGUUGAGAGGACAAAAUUCGAAAGACAGUUACGUGGCAGGCUAUUCCUCGGAAGUCACUCAUGUCAGGCUUCUCCGAUGCACAACUGUGCUGCGCGGCUGUCAGCGUUGCGGUCUCAUUCAACACUGGAGACUUUGGCGCCAUCCCUGCGGACACCACUUCUGCCGUGAGUGCAUGGAUCAGAUCAUAGAUGAUGGUUUCCGCGACAUCGAGGGGCUUGGCUCAAGUCCCUGUCCACAGUGUAAAUCAGUUGUAGCCUAUUAAAUGUGUAACCGUGACUGUAUGUUAGUGCCUUUUUCUGAGUUUGUGUAACCUUUUCUUUUUCAUUGCACUUUGUAGUCCCUGCAUGUCCCUAUUGCCCAGGCAAUUCAACAGAACUAUGGUAUCAUCAAGACAAAGGACAAGCAAUACUACUUCACCACUUAUCUAGUCAGUCAGAGCAGAUUUUCAUUGUCAUCUUUUGGACAUUCUAUUCUAUGCAUUAAUUAGUGUGUGUAGUAGGACAAGGUUACAGUAAAUGACAUGAAUAUAUCUUAAUAUAACUAUCUAAAUGUAGCUGAUGCUAAACUCCAUCCAAUACAAACGACUAUUUAUGAAUAUUAACAACUCAGGCUCCUAGGCAAGGUUGGGGAGAAACUGAUUGCAUGUAAUCAUGUACAUGUAAUCUGAUUACAAAAAGGUAGUCCCAGCUAAAAUUGUGUAAUCAGGUUACAGAUACUUUGAAAAACUAGAUGAUUACUCCUUGGAUUGCUUGCUUGCGACAAAAUACAUUAUAACACUUUUCCUUUUCUCAAUGACUUUCAUUUCAGCCUUGAAAAAAAGGGCAAAUUUAGUUUGUUCCACCUGAGCGAGUCUGACCACAAAUUAGAGACCACUAUGAUGGCACACCAAAUGCGUUUGAUGGAUCCUUUUUGUCUUCUAAUGCCUCUUAAGGGGAAAGUAAUCUAAAAGUAACUGAAAUUAAUAAUAUUACAUUACUGGGUAUGGGUAAUCCAAAAUUACUGAUUACAAUUUUUGACAGGUAACUAGUAACUGUAACGGAUUAUAUUUAGUAAGUAAGCUACCCAACUCUGCUUAUAUGAUAGA